GUGGGGAAUAUUGGACAAUGGGCGAAAGCCUGAUCCAGCCAUGCCGCGUGUGUGAAGAAGGUCUUCGGAUUGUAAAGCACUUUAAGUUGGGAGGAAGGGCAGUAAGUUAAUACCUUGCUGUUUUGACGUUACCAACAGAAUAAGCACCGGCUAACUUCGUGCCAGCAGCCGCGGUAAUACGAAGGGUGCAAGCGUUAAUCGGAAUUACUGGGCGUAAAGCGCGCGUAGGUGGUUCAGCAAGUUGGAUGUGAAAGCCCCGGGCUCAACCUGGGAAUUGCAUCCAAAACUACUGAGCUAGAGUACGGUAGAGGGUGGUGGAAUUUCCUGUGUAGCGGUGAAAUGCGUAGAUAUAGGAAGGAACACCAGUGGCGAAGGCGACCACCUGGACUGAUACUGACACUGAGGUGCGAAAGCGUGGGGAGCAAACAGGAUUAGAUACCCGAGUAGUCC
RNAcentral lists this ribosomal RNA (450 nucleotides) under uncultured bacterium. RNAcentral describes it as "partial 16S ribosomal RNA". It matches the Rfam family "Bacterial small subunit ribosomal RNA", at positions 354 to 796 of the family's 1533-position model. The record is from RNAcentral.